Molecule: ribosomal RNA, 253 nt
Filed under: uncultured bacterium
Lineage: Bacteria
Description: partial 16S ribosomal RNA
Rfam family: Bacterial small subunit ribosomal RNA
Source: RNAcentral
UACAGAGGGUGCGAGCGUUAAUCGGAAUUACUGGGCGUAAAGCGUGCGUAGACGGUUGUUUAAGUCAGAUGUGAAAGCCCCGGGCUCAACCUGGGAAUUGCAUUUGAGACUGAAUAGCUAGGGUGCGGAAGAGGGAAGCGGAAUUUCCGGUGUAGCAGUGAAAUGCGUAGAUAUCGGAAGGAACAUCAGUGGCGAAAGCGGCUUCCUGGUCCAGCACCGACGUUCAGGCACGAAAGCGUGGGGAGCAAACAGG